RNAcentral lists this ribosomal RNA (1031 nucleotides) under Thysanorea uniseptata. RNAcentral describes it as "SSU rRNA". It matches the Rfam family "Eukaryotic small subunit ribosomal RNA", at positions 57 to 1103 of the family's 1831-position model. The record is from RNAcentral. Lineage: Eukaryota; Fungi; Ascomycota; Eurotiomycetes; Chaetothyriales; Herpotrichiellaceae.
GUCUAGUAUAGCACCAUACUGUGAAACUGCGAAUGGCUCAUUAAAUCAGUUAUCGUUUAUUUGAUAGUACCUUUACCUGGAUAACCGUGGUAAUUCUAGAGCUAAUACAUGCUAAAAACCUCGACUUCGGAAGGGGUGUAUUUAUUAGAUAAAAAACCAAUGCCCUUCGGGGCUCCUUGGUGAUUCAUAAUAACUUAACGAAUCGCAUGGCCUUGCGCCGGCGAUGGUUCAUUCAAAUUUCUGCCCUAUCAACUUUCGAUGGUAGGAUAGUGGCCUACCAUGGUCUUAACGGGUAACGGGGAAUUAGGGUUCUAUUCCGGAGAGGGAGCCUGAGAAACGGCUACCACAUCCAAGGAAGGCAGCAGGCGCGCAAAUUACCCAAUCCCAAUUCGGGGAGGUAGUGACAAUAAAUACUGAUACGGGGCUCUUUCGGGUCUCGUAAUUGGAAUGAGUACAAUCUAAAUCCCUUAACGAGGAACAAUUGGAGGGCAAGUCUGGUGCCAGCAGCCGCGGUAAUUCCAGCUCCAAUAGCGUAUAUUAAAGUUGUUGCCGUUAAAAAGCUCGUAGUUGAACCUUGGACCUGGCUGAUCUGUCCUCCUAAUCGAGCGCACGGAUUCGGUCGGGUCUUUCCUUCUGGGGAGCCCUAUGCCCUUCACUGGGUGUAGUGGGGAACCAGGACUUUUACCUUGAAAAAAUUAGAGUGUUCAAAGCAGGCCUUUGCUCGAAUACAUUAGCAUGGAAUAAUAGAAUAGGACAUCGGUUCUAUUUUGUUGGUUUCUAGGACCGCUGUAAUGAUUAAUAGGGAUAGUCGGGGGCGUCAGUAUUCAAUUGUCAGAGGUGAAAUUCUUGGAUUUAUUGAAGACUAACUACUGCGAAAGCAUUCGCCAAGGAUGUUUUCAUUAAUCAGUGAACGAAAGUUAGGGGAUCGAAGACGAUCAGAUACCGUCGUAGUCUUAACCAUAAACUAUGCCGACUAGGGAUCGGACGGUGGUUUUUUUAUGCCCCGUUCGGCACCUUACGAGAAAUCAAAG